RNAcentral lists this long non-coding RNA (307 nucleotides) under Phoenix dactylifera (date palm). RNAcentral describes it as "long non-coding RNA (PDAC_LNC013473)". Lineage: Eukaryota; Viridiplantae; Streptophyta; Magnoliopsida; Arecales; Arecaceae. The record is from RNAcentral.
UUAACUCUCUUCUUAAAAAUAGCUUUUAUUUUUAAUGAUAGAAGCAUUUAAUUAUGCAGGAGUGUAUAUUCAAAAUAUUAAUUUCUUAGUCAUAGUUUUUCAGCAAUGUAUAUAUGAAGCACCAUAAAUCUUUUUAAUAUCAAAAUAACAUCAUGUGUUUAGAAACAUUUGUUCGCAAUCAAGAUCAUUGAAAAAUACAUCAUUUAGACCAAUUUCAGUACACUUAUAAGAUAAAAAAUGAUAUGUUUCAGAUGCGUAUCGGAGCAAACAAUCAAGGUAUCAAAAUUAAUUCUAUUUUUCUUAAGCU